RNAcentral lists this ribosomal RNA (495 nucleotides) under uncultured bacterium. RNAcentral's name for it is "partial 16S ribosomal RNA". It matches the Rfam family "Bacterial small subunit ribosomal RNA", at positions 28 to 507 of the family's 1533-position model. The record is from RNAcentral.
GACGAACGCUGGCGGCGUGCCUAAUACAUGCAAGUAGAACGCUGAAGGAGGAGCUUGCUUCUCUGGAUGAGUUGCGAACGGGUGAGUAACGCGUAUGUAACCUGCCUGGUAGCGGGGGAUAACUAUUGGAAACGAUAGCUAAUACCGCAUAAGAGUAGAUGUUGCAUUACAUUUGCUUAAAAGUUGCACUUGCAUCACUACCAGAUGGACCUGCGUUGUAUUAGCUAGUUGGGGAGGAAACGGCUCACCAAGGCAACGAUACAUAUCCGACCUGAGAGGGUGAUCGGCCACACUGGGAAUGAGGAACGGCCCAGGAUCCUUAGGGGGGGAGCAGGAGGGGAUCUUUGGCAAUGGACGGAAGUCUGACCGAGCAACGCCGGGUGAGUGAAGGAGGUUUUCGGAUUGUAAAGCUCUGUUGUAAGAGAAGGAAGAGUGUGAGAGUGGAAAGUUCACACUGUGACGGUAUCUUACCAGAAAGGGACGGCUAACUACGUG